GUAAAAGUCAAGAACUUCGAACGAACGAAUUGUUUCUCUCUGGAUAAUUUAGUUAACAGUGUUUUCGAUGUUUUUAAAAUCAAGAAUCAAGUCCAGUUCUCAAUGAAGAUAAUAUUUAGCCCUCUCAAGAGCAUAAUUAUGGGGACACUCGACAUGGUUAUCAUCCCUCUAGUAAGUUCGGCAUGGACAUAUACGGCGAUAUCAAGCGAGCCCUUUACUUUGACGGCCCCAGUGAAGAGUUGCACAGCUUCAUUGCACAUACCUUUGAGCUACGAAAUCCAAAUCCUACCUACAUGUUCAUUUUACCAAACGAAAAACACAAGCAUCUCAUUAUGAAAAGGACUGAUUUCAAGAGGCCAAUUUUUCCGAACAUCACAGAGUUGAAUAUAAGAUUGAACCGCCUCUCGGCUAAACGGUUUUUGAAUCAAGAAGGGAGUGACAUUGAUCCACUUAUUUCGGGUAAACCCUCGUCAACAUUUUAUAAUAACGACGAGAAUACUAUCCUCGAAAAUAUCCAAACCGAACGAACUUUCAUCGAUUACAUGCAGCGACUUAAUGAAAAGGCUGAAAAUUUAUUGGAAUAUAUUCGUAAAAGGCAAAAUCCGCAGUAUAAGAAUUCGAACAUUUCGCGGAUCCCCUUGAUGCUUAGAAAUGCCGACCUGGAAUGGCAAAAAGUCGGUCUUGACGGUUGGAGAGGAGAAAUUAUUCCAUACAGAGAUUUGAGCGAUGCCGGUAUAAGUGAAAAGAUUCCAGGUACCGAUCUGUCUUUGAUCAAAGCAGAUUUGAGGAAUUCAAAAAAGAUCGGCGGUUACAACGUUUCGGUUCCGUUGCAAUGGAACUUUUUAGAUGACACUGAUAUUAAGGAGAAGUGGGAUUUGCCUGGAAAGGUUUCACAAGGAAUUGCGGCUGAUAUGGAUGACUUGAAUGAGGUUUUCAGUAUUAUGUCGAAUGUUUUGAAUAGUACAGCACCUCCGAAAUGGCCAAUUGCUAAUCCUAGGAGCGCUCAUAAGAACAACGAUGUGUAUAUUGCAAGAGCUAAUGAUCCUUUUGGAUAUUCGACUAAGUGGGAGUUUAAGUCCAACAGCACAAAGUCUAGGAAAAAACGAGGGAUUGGUGAACUAUACUCCAUGCUGAAAUGUGGAACCGGCUGCGAUCCACUUCUCCUCAGAGGAUACGGAUGCUAUUGUGGAUUUCUAGGAGCUGGUAUCCCAGCGGAUGGUAUUGAUAGAUGUUGUCAAGCUCACGAUCGAUGUUACGGACGAGCCAAUUGUCCAAUGUAUCUUCAGUAUUUCGUCCCAUAUUUAUGGAAAUGCUACAACGGACGACCACUAUGUGCAGUGGAUAAUGGCGAGUGGGGUCGUUGUGCAACACAAUUAUGCAGAUGUGAUUUGUACUUGUCGGCAUGCACUCGAAAAUAUAGAUGCCCAAGACGACGAUUAAUUUGUCGAUCGAAUAAGUUUCGAAUGUUGCAGAAUUAUCUGAAGAUAAUUUGAGUUGAAGGCGUCUUUUGACUCUUCUCUGUGAAUACGUGUAUUAGUUUGUUAAUUAUUACAUAGUUGGCAAUAAGAUAGUGCAAGGAUAUCACCGUUGCAGCGUAAAAAUUGUUGGUGCUUUAAUUUUAGUAGAUACUGAAGAAAGUACAAAACCAGUGGAUGGCCUCUGAGUCUUAGGACAUGAACUAAAACCAACACACAAUAUUUAUACUAACUCCAUCGAAUAGAAAACACAAAAACACAUUGGCUACCGAAAUUUCCAUUAAUUGAAGUACAAUAGUUUGUUUUAGCAAAAAUUUAAAAUCUCUCUUGCAAUCUGAAAAUUGAACAUCGAUGUGAGAUAUCUAGAAACUAUCUUUAUCCAAUAAGAGGGAAUAUAAAUGUUUUACUAGCCAGCAAUUUCGUGGACUAAAAAGUUGUUCAACAAAGGGCACUUACUCCGAAUAUUGCUCCCAACUAUCUUCAAAAAAUCCCAGUUUACAAGUAGUUACGCAUUCUAAUGAGAAAGUGGUGCGGGAAAUAAUUUAAAAUUUAAUCUUUCUUCGGGUGUCUUCCGUGAUAAUUUCGUAGUAUUAGUUCGUAGUAGUUUAGUGUUGUGUUACCGCGGAACAAGUGUUUACGAGUGUCACGUACAACGGGGGAACAUAAAGAAGAAAAUGUUAUAUGGAGCUCAGUUGUCCGCAUGAUAAAAAUGUGACAUACGAAUAGCUUGUUCGUGGCGUGGAUUUAAACAAUAUGGAACCCGAAGGGAUUAUGCGGAUAGAUUGUUCCUGAUGGAAAGGAUGGAGCUGAAAUUUUGUUUUGAACAGGACCAAAAGGACGACAUCCGUGCCUCCUCCGAAAAACAGCUACAACCUAAAAAGGAAACAACGGCCGAGGGGCUACCAGAACCAGCUCAACGGAAUCGCUGCAGAGACUUUGUGCCGGGCGACGACGAUAUUAGCGCUGCUCCCAGAACCUGUGAGACCGCGAUUCCUGCUGAUCCCGCAACCCAACUGGACGAUCCCCAACAUCGAUCCCAUCUGCAGUUUCUCCAUCAAAAUCUGCUGAUCUUCGACGAGCAUUGUCCUUUGCAGGAGCCGAAACUGCCCAGAAAUGUGUCCACUUUUACCAAUUUGUUGUGUUAAUUUUCUUUGUAUUUUGAUGAAUUUCCGUUAAAUAAAGUGAAUUAAUUAUUUCCACGAAAAUGCUUGUGUUUUUCUUCCAACCAUCAACCACCAAACUGCUCUCGCUGGCUCCCUUUCAAUUCAAACAGAACGAAAAUCCGACCCCGUGGGCCUUCAAAACAAUUCAAAUUCAAAUUUCGACUCCGUCACAUUCCGAGCAAAUUUUCCUAAAAGCGUCGCCGGCAAAAUUCCAAUUUAUUCGACCAAAAUACUCGGCCCCCAGAAUCCGCAGCAAGCAAAAUUGCCUACCAGUGGUUCUCAAUAUGUGUGCAGAUCCUGAGCAGUGUUUCUCAAUCUAUAUGCCAUCUAUCCGAGACUCAAACUAGCCGAUCGACUACCGAUUGUACUAGAUUAACCGAUUUUUUUUGAAUAUCGAAUAAAAUAGAUUUGAAGUGUCGCAAAUGCAAAAAUGACUCGCGUGACAUUAAAAUAAAAUCCGAUUCGAUCUGUCACGAUUUUUCCAAGCAUCAAAAGGCAUGGAUUCGUCGCGAAAUUAAUUAAAAACUUUUCGUUUGACAUUUGUUUGGGGUGAUCGAACCGAUGGAAAUGUAAUAGUCGAUCUAGUCCAGUUUGGUUUAUCGAAAUUCGAAAUUUAUUAGCUUGAGAGCCUGUGGAGGUGAAACUUGUAAACAAAAAUGGCGUAGACAUAAACAAAAACAUUUGUACUGAUCAUCUUUGCUUGCUCCGUGUUCUGGGGGCCUAGUAUUUUGGUCGAACAAAUUGAAGUUUGUCGGCGAUCGGACGGUCCUGGGAAAAAUUUAACUGCGGACUCAAACGACAACGGCUGUGCGGCAACUUGCGCCUAUUGAGGGAUUUGACAGUUGGCGGAAAAAAUAAACAUCGAACGUGGGUGGAUGGAUUUCGCUUUAUUAAACGGAAAUUCAUCAAAAUACAAAAAAUAAAAAGGACAUAAAACAAAAUUAGUUAUAAAAGUGCGCCUCAUGUAUCCGGACAAUUUCGUUUCUUGCAAAGGAUGACAACAAUGCUCGCGGAAGAACAUCAGAUUCCGGCGGAGAAACUGCAGAUGGACUUGGAUGGUGUGGAGGAUCGCGUUCAGUUGGGUUACGAGAUUAGCAGGAGUUAUGGUCGCAGAGGUCUUGGGAGAUGCACUGAUAUCGUCGCCCGGCAGAGAGUACCCAGCAGCAAUUUCGGCGAUUUGGAUCCGAAAGUUUCCUUGACCCGAUCUCCUUUUCGAAGCUGCAGUUGAUGUUCGGAGGAAGCACGGAUGUCGUCCUGUGAAUAAAUGAGAAGAAAUGGAGUUAGAAAGGUUCAAUAAAAAGGAUGGAAAAUGCAAGAUGAAGUUAAGCGCAAGACAUUGAAGUGGAAGAGCCAAUGGAAGCCAGUUGCGUUGCCACACUGCAGGAGAGGACGAAGUGAUUGGAUGACGGAUCUGCAGCCGUGAUUGUGCUAACUUGAAGGUUUCUCUGGGAUCAUCGUUAAGUGGCUGCUUUAGUGGAGACGCUGCAUAUCAGGCACAACUCAAGUUGGGAAGUAAAUCGUAGUCCAUUGACUCUGGCAGUUGAACGCGUUUUUUUCACGGGAUUCCUCCUACUACCGAUUCCUGAAGGAGACAUAAAGUAUUCCUGGCCGGAGAAUGCAUUAAUUACAUCACAAAUUCCUGUCGAUUCCUUUAUUACCGUAAAUUACAAUUAAUUACAAAUGUCAGUUGUUAGUAAGAAUAAAAUUCGAAUCUUCAUAAAA
This 4360-nucleotide unclassified non-coding RNA is filed under the name Hermetia illucens (black soldier fly). RNAcentral describes it as "uncharacterized LOC119659260, transcript variant X3". Lineage: Eukaryota; Metazoa; Arthropoda; Insecta; Diptera; Stratiomyidae. The record is from RNAcentral.